AGAGUUGAUCCUGGCUUAGGACGAACGCUGGCGGCACGCUUAACACAUGCAAGUCGAACGGAGUUUAAAGAGCUUGCUUUUAACUUAGUGGCGGACGGGUGAGUAACACGUGAGCAAUCUGCCUUCAGAGGGGGAUAGCAGUUGGAAACGACUGAUAAUACCGCAUAACAUAACGGAGGCGCAUGACUCUGUUAUCAAAGAUUUUAUCGCUGAAAGAUGAGCUCGCGUCUGAUUAGGUAGUUGGUGAGGUAACGGCUCACCAAGCCGACGAUCAGUAGCCGGACUGAGAGGUUGAACGGCCACAUUGGGACUGAGACACGGCCCAGACUCCUACGGGAGGCAGCAGUGGGGAAUAUUGCACAAUGGGCGCAAGCCUGAUGCCAGCGAUGCCGCGUGAGGGAAGAAGGUUUUAGGAUUGUAAACCUCUGUCCUAUGGAAAGAUAAUGACGGUACCAUAGGAGGAAGCUCCGGCUAACUACGUGCCAGCCGCUGC
RNAcentral lists this ribosomal RNA (493 nucleotides) under uncultured bacterium. Its description in RNAcentral is "bacterial SSU rRNA". It matches the Rfam family "Bacterial small subunit ribosomal RNA", at positions 8 to 518 of the family's 1533-position model. The record is from RNAcentral.